CUACGGGUUGCACCAGUGGGGAAUAUUGCGCAAUGGGGGAAACCCUGAUGCAGCAACGCCGCGUGAAGGAUGAAGGUCUUCGGAUUGUAAACUUCUAUCAGUAGGGAAGAAUAAAUGACGGUACCUAACUAAGAAGCUCCGGCUAACUACGUGCCAGCAGCCGCGGUAAUACGUAGGGAGCAAGCGUUAUCCGGAUUUACUGGGUGUAAAGGGUGCGUAGGCGGCCAUCUAAGUCUAAAGUGAAAUUUCGGGGCUCAACCCCGGAGCUGCUUUGGAAACUGGGAGGCUAGAGUGUGGGAGAGGAAAGUGGAACUUUGGGUGUAGCGGUGAAAUGCGUAGAGAUUCAAAGGAACACCAGUAGCGAAGGCGGCUUUCUGGACCAUAACUGACGCUGAGGCACGAAAGCGUGGGGAGCAAACAGGAUUAGAUACCCCCGUAGUC
This 441-nucleotide ribosomal RNA is filed under the name uncultured bacterium. Its description in RNAcentral is "partial 16S ribosomal RNA". It matches the Rfam family "Bacterial small subunit ribosomal RNA", at positions 339 to 795 of the family's 1533-position model. The record is from RNAcentral.